AGGACGAACGCUGGCGGCGUGCCUAACACAUGCAAGUCGAACGGGACCAGGGGCAACUCUGGUUCAGUGGCGGACGGGUGCGUAACACGUGAGGAACAUGACUUUCGGCGGGGGAUAGCCGGCCCAACGGCCGGGUAAUACCGCGUACGACCUCUCGGGGACAUCCCCGGUUGGUGAAAGCAGCAAUGCACCGAAAGAGUGCCUCGCGGCCUAUCAGCUAGUUGGUGAGGUAACGGCUCACCAAGGCGACGACGGGUAGC
RNAcentral lists this ribosomal RNA (260 nucleotides) under uncultured bacterium. Its description in RNAcentral is "partial small subunit ribosomal RNA". It matches the Rfam family "Bacterial small subunit ribosomal RNA", at positions 26 to 287 of the family's 1533-position model. The record is from RNAcentral.